Molecule: long non-coding RNA, 249 nt
Organism: Neopsephotus bourkii (Bourke's parrot)
Lineage: Eukaryota; Metazoa; Chordata; Aves; Psittaciformes; Psittacidae
Exons: 3
Source: RefSeq, a predicted model, not a curated record
CAUCCUUGCACCCCGAUAGAGCCGUUGCUUUGCUCUCCAUGCUCCUGGCCCUCUCCUUUGUGCUCCUCAUGGCUCUGAGCAUCGUGAACCUCCGCAGAGUCUCCAUGGCAUGGGAAGCGUUGGAAGAGGCUCGGAUGCGGGAAGAGAGCAUCCAUGCAGCGGCAUGGAACAACCUCUCGCAGGUCCAGCAUGCUCUUGACCAGCAGCUCUCCAAGGAGGCCAAGGCUGCUCGCAUCCAGCUCCUCAAUG